RNAcentral lists this long non-coding RNA (32596 nucleotides) under Musa acuminata (dwarf banana). Its description in RNAcentral is "long non-coding RNA (MACU_LNC007841)". The record is from RNAcentral. Lineage: Eukaryota; Viridiplantae; Streptophyta; Magnoliopsida; Zingiberales; Musaceae.
UUCUCUCGCCUCGCCCCUUGCUCUUAUUGAUUACUGGAUUGGAUUCUUUAAUGCCUCGCUGACUUAUGGGUUAUUUCUGACUUCAUUAUAUAUACCCUUUGCCCUUAUGACUCUGAUUGGAUUCUGAAAUGCCAUUAUUAACUUCAAGCUCAAGUGCAUCUGCCCUGCCGGAAUACGAGUAUAGUUCUGUUCGCCUAGUUCGAGUUAAGGUAAUAGGAAAGUUUGAGUAGAAAGCAGGGUUCAAGGAAGAAGAUAGUUGUUCUGAAGCUGUAAGUAAAGAAGUGUAAUCACAAGAAGUUAAUCAUAUAAAGAAGACAGAAAGCGAAGGUGAAAGUGGAAUCGAAGUUCUUGUUUCACUGACAUUAGAUAGAGUGGGGUAAUCCAACUGAUAGGUAGCUGAACCAGCAACUGAACUAGUAAGCAACGAAGCUUGAAGGAAAUCCGGGGGUUAACUACUAGGUUCUAGCUUAAAGAGAGUCCGUUUGUGUGCGAGUGAAGUCUCCGAGAUCAUCAGCAGAAACAAGAGCUGGAUCUGAGGAAGUAUUAGUAUAAGCUUAUAAAUUGCCUGUUCCAAGUAUUGUUUUAGUAUACGCUUGGCCUUUUUGAGUAUACGCUUGGCCCUUCCCGCAUCUGAACGGACAGUAUCCAUCUUCUUUCUUGGCGCCCUGAGAGGAAUCCGUUCCAGUUUUGUCAACAGGAUUAGAAGCGGAAAAUGGAAAUGGAGUAUUUGUUGAGCCAGCAGUAGAUAAGUAAAGUAAGCUGAUAGAGCAGAGAGAAAGAGAGACUAAACAAGUAUAAGGAAAUUCUGUCUUUCGAGCACCAAGUAUAGAAUCUACAAGUAUAGAAAAAAGAAAGUCACACCCGCUUAGCAUCCUUUUUGACCUACCGGGAUAGAUGCUACUUUUCAGUCCAUUUCAGUGCAGAAUGAAUUUCAUCCCUCGACUCGAUAACUUGGUAUAGAAUGAUUUUCCCUUAUACCUCUUACAGCAGAUGGGGAUUCUUCUUCGGCUUCAGGAUCUCGUAGACAAUGACACAAGAACAGAACUUUAGGAACGGAACUCUACCUCAGGACAGAUACUGGUUCCCUUGCCAGCCUACCUCUCUUAUGGAGUAUGAGAUUCUAUAUAUACCCUCGCUUCUUAUCUAACUCUUAUAUGAUUAUUAUUCCCUACACUCUUAAUCGAUUGUUGCUUACUUACUUUCUACAGCUUCUUGGUUCUCGGAUUCUUAAUGAAAGUCAAACUACACUUUAUACUUAACCGCAGGGUGGGCAUUCGAUUCGGCUUCCUUUAUUGACUUUGAAUCUACUGCUUGCUGGGCUCGCACACCAGUACAAGGUUCUGACCGGAACCCUUUCUUCAAACUGCUAUGGAUUCUGAGCAGCUGGGCGCUUCAGUAAACAGUGAGUUUAGCUUAGCUAGUUCUGAGUUCCCCUUGUGCUUACGUGAUUUGGAGGAGUCUUUCUAAAGUGGUUUAUACUAAGAAAUCUGCUUUUGCACUCCAUUCUCUUACCAUCGUUUACCCUUAUCAGCAUGAACUCGCACCCAAAGAGAUUCUCUAGUCAGAGAAAGCUACAAUUACAAUACAAUAAAGAUUGAACAACACCACGCUUCAGGAGCCCAUAAUCCUACAAGGCAAUCAGUUGACUUCUUCUGCCCUAAACUUCCCCGAACCUUUACCUUCAAGCAACUGUCCACUCUCUUAAACAAGCAACGCGCUAACGCUUACUUCUGACUUUCUUUCCGGGGGAAACUCCAUUCUUUGAAAAUAACUCUCACUAACGUGCACCCCAAAACCAAUAGUCUAGAAGCGCUAGCACAACAGCGCAAGAACAAGUGGUAGAGUGAAAUACAUAUUCAUAGGAAUUUACCAGAUAGGCGCGGGCCCUAGUAUAUUCGUCACUUCCUCCCGGGAAGCUUGCUAAAGGUCAAUGAUUACCCGGCGCAGGUUCGAGUACGAUUGACAGGAAAGUCGACCAAAGCAGAUCUAGCAGUAGAUUCCAAGUAAUGAAAGAUCGUUUUUUCAGUAGUUUACAGUGUCAGUUCCGGAAAUUCCACAAGGGGGGCGAUGCGCAAGACUCAGUUAAUAAGUGGAAUUGUUUACAUUCCUAUCAUCCUUAAAUGAAUGGCAGUAAUAAAUGAUUGUUUUCCAUCAGAAGAAGAAACAAGACGUUAUGAAAGUGAAUCAGUUAAGUCGACUCCAUCAGACAGAAAAGAAUCUUGCAUCGCAACAAAGAAUUCCAUUUCUCUAUAACUUAUACGCAUGGAAUGUCAUCAGGCAGCUCAGCUCACUGGCCCCGAAAUAAGGACUUGCUAUGACGCGGAAGACUCCUUCUUUCCUGUGAUAUCGAGACUAAGGGCUAAGGCUGUGUUGGCUACGAAAGCAGCAGAAUCCGCUUAUGAAUUGCCAGUGAGAGUUUCAGUUGGCAGAGCAGGAGUAGGUUCCGCAUUUACAUCUUAUGUCAGUUCAAUGAAAUUCUGCGCUAAUGGGAGUUAUGUGGGCCACUAAGAACAUAGGUCCGCUCCUAAGCUUGCUUCCUUUAACGGGUGCAUUAGAGAGUUUCCCUUGAGAAUGGAAUUGAAUCAUUGAAUCUAGAUAAGAAAGAGAAAGAGCAAAGUAUAGAUUGAUGUAACAAACUGGAGAGGACACUCGGCCUUAUAGUCGCAGCUAACACAUUACCCCUUACCCUUGCCUUUAGAAUGUACCUUAACCUUCGAAAGCCCUUGCUUGUUCUGUACGUGCCUAAAUUCCUUUUUCAGCUAAUACGGUGCAAGUAUAAAGGAACUUCGAAUCCAGUUUCUUUGGGUGCUCGUGUUCUUGUAGAUGGAAUCAAUGAGAGCAACUCUAGUCUGUAGACGCAAAAAGGGGGUCUCGGUUUCUUUACUUAUGAAGCGCACUGCUAGCAAACUAAAGGCGGAAAAGAAGAGCAACCUGCGCCAAUAGAAUAACUUUAAGUAAUAAGUAUGCUGUGUUUUUAUUAAUUGAUAGAAUGUGCGCACUCUCUUCAACAAGUGGUUAUGUGCACCAGAUUCCACAAGCGAAGAAGCAAACAAGCAUGGAGGGUGAAGAAGCCAACAAGCAUGGGCGCUAACCUUAGUUAUUAAAGGAAGCAAUGCUGUCUUUAUACGGUUUUUUAGUUAGGAAGAAAUAAGUGAGUUUACUGUAUAUUUCUAUUAUGUAUUAUGUGAGUUCAAUGAAAUGAUGACUUUCUAGUUGAGUUCUUUGAAUAGAGAGAGAAUAUCUUAAACCACCCCGCGGGAAAUAAAGAUAGGUUGACAGCUUUCACCGAUAAGUCUCAAGUAUCUGAGUUCCUAUUGAAUAAAAAGAAUCCGAAUCAGCAGUAUCAAGUAAGUCAGCAGCAAGAGAUUCUGAAAGUAAUGAAUCAGCAGCCGCAAGAUCACGGUCUGAAGAUGGAGCAGGAUAAGAAGUGUUACCGCGUAUACGUAUAUAAGUCUGGACCACUCCCAGAGACCAAUGACUCUUGUAAUAACUCUUUAUUGAUUUGGCGUAAGCCCUCCCCUUUUUUGUUAGUGAGCGGAACCCUAACCCUUGUGCUAAGGACAAUUAGUGUACGAGAACAAGAAGACUAAGUGUAAUAGCUUGUUUCUUGGGGUGCAUUAGCUUCGUUGCUGACUUUCUUCGUCCAGCACUGUCCACAACUGUCCACCUACAGGCCUUUAGGGAAAUGAAAUAGGAAAAACAGCAAGCAAGACUAUAGCUUACGGAGUUUUAACAAGCAAAGGGCUUCUAACACGGGAACCCCAGUCUACUACAGCACAGCGAACGUAAGGUGCAAGCCAAGUGAUAGGGCUGGAAGAGCAAAUGAAUUUCCAUCCAAAUAUCACUUUAUUGUUUCAUCGACGAGAGCAUAAGAUAGAGCUGGUAAGGAAGCAGGAAAGUAUUGUUCGGCAAAUGACUUUCGAGUAUCGUUUAAGGAAGAAGAAGAAUCUGUGUUGUCCACGAGAUCCGUUCUUGGCGCUUGACCUUUGUAUUUCAUCCUAUAUAGAAGCUGUGCGAUAGAUUCCAUUAAUUCUUAAGACAGUGGAGUUGAGAAAUUGACAGUGCCCCAGUCACUGAUAAUAUUAUGACUUGUAACCCGUUGCGCCUAGGGAGUAAUUGGUGGAAAGUAGAGUGUGAGUUGAAUCCCUUGUGGAAUAAGAAUAAGAGUAUCAAGCCGAAGCUAAAGAAGAAGUCGGCUUAUCUGUCUGCUUGUCCCACGUGAACUCCUUCUCUUACCCAGCCGUAGUUCCUUGGCCCAGUAGAGUUCUGGCAGAGCAAAGAUUGGAGCCAGCAGUCAGGACAGGAGUGAGCUUUGGAAUUGAAAAGUUGGGUGUGAUCUUAGGUGGAGCAGGGGCAUGAUCUGCAGCAGUUCAAUAUCCCGUUGUUGUAGGCUGUAGCUCCUUGUCUGCAAGAGAAGUUAUUGUGUCCGUAACUCGCAAAAAGGUAGGCUUUUCAGAGGGAGUCCUGUUUUGGGGAGACGAAGCUGUGCUAAGGCAGUUGUAUAACCCUAGUGUUAAGCAAGUAGUAAAUAGAGAGAAAAGAAGCUUUUUCCAUAUCCGGAGUAGGAACAAGAAUAGGUAAGGGAGUUGAGUUCGGAGAAGAAACCAUAUCUGGUGAGGAUGCAAGUGCUUUCGGGUCUGUAAACUCCGUAUUAGCAAGGGAGCAGGUCUGAUUCUAGGUUCAAAUAUGCAAUCAUAAGGCAAGUUUCUUAGUGGAAAUGAUGGAUUUCCUAUAAGACUAAAGAAGUUGUGUUAAAGAUUAGGGUGGAAAAUGAACUACUAAUUGAAUUGCCAGAAGGACAAAGUAAUGGAAGAAAGAAAGACGAAAGCCAGGGGAGUUUAGCGCCCAGAGCUAGUCGGAUCGGAAUACAGAUAAGGUAGUAAAGAGAAGAGAUGCUGCCAGACUUAUUUCAUGGUUGAAUCCCUUGUAGGUAGUAGCGACUAGGUAGUAGCGACCAGGCCAAUUCCAGUUCAAAAGUAUGUAGUCUGCUGUGGUUCUUCAAGUGCUGUUGAGGUCGGUUCAGAAAGGGGAGUUGCCUCAGCUCAGUAUUUGCAAGGGAGUUAAGGGAGUGAGCUUACCUUAGUUGUUAAGGGAGGGAGUGUAGUUCGGACGUAUGUAUUCAAUAGUUUCUGAGUAGCUUAUUCAAUAGUUUCUGAGUAGCUUGUUGAGGAGUAGCUUGGCCUAUCCAAAUAUCUGUUAUUAUUAAAGAAUCAAGUUUCGAAAGGGAUUCUAGCCUAUCAGCAAUAAACCCGAGGAACUGGAGUCCUGUAUUAAUGGCGGCAAAGUCUCUUUCCCUACCGGAGUAACAGAGCAAGAGGGUAUGAAGAUUCUAGGAAGAAAUGCAUUUCUACAGCCGAGAAGUAUAUUUCCAAAUUCAUAGUUGCUUGCCCCGGCUUCUAAUCAAUAAAAAGUAAAGGCUUUGAUGCGAGGUAUCAGUUGUUGAAUGAUUAGUUGUGCUAAGGUAGUUUACAGUGAGCAUAAAACGAACCUUGUUUACCACUAGGCUCACCCGCUCUUUGAACACUGAAACAGAUGAUUCUCUCUCUCCCGCAAACAAUGCUCGAACUCUCCUUUCUUUCUAAACAAGAAUACAUCUUUCCCAUCUAAGCUCUCACUACUGCUGACUUUGGCACUGCUUCCUAUCGGCUCGGCUUCUAUAUAAGAUGAAAGUCACCCAGGUUCUUUACCUUAGUUGUCAUAGAGAGAACUGAUGCUUCUCUUGCUUCCCCGACCUAUCUCCUUUACCAUAUUGGUUGCUUGGUGUUUAAAACAUUCCAAUAUCAAUGAAUUCUUUGUAGUCUCCGCUUGUCCUGUCCGAGCUAGGGAUAAAGAAAGUACAGGCUUAGUUGCGAGGGAGAGGCAAAAGGGAUGACAAGCCGAUCAGAUUGAAAGGAAGUAGCUAUAUACCGAGUAGGGGAUAGAAUCCGGAGCUGGAGUGGAAUACCGAGUAGCCGGAGGAGAGAGAGGCUAAAUCCAAUCUCUAAGCUAAGUCAGAUCUCUAAGUCAGAGCGAGAGCUGUUAUUGACUUCCUUCUAUCAUACCUAGAGCUAGAGCACCCACCCAUGACCAAAGAGCUUAUACUUAUUUGUUAUUGCUUAUUUGUUAUUGCUUACAUUCAUUGCUUACAGCAGGCUGGCUCUGCUCUAUCCGCUUACUGAAACUCACUUAUUCUUAUUGCUUAAAAACUCCAUACUUCUCUUUUUCCGACCUCAACUCUCAGUGAAGCUUACCUCUGACCUGCACCUUAACAAUUCCAGUAUUGUUCCCCAGUCAUAAAGUGUUGACUUUCCUCAUACAGAUCCCGAUCAAGCAUCUUCAAUAACACCCAGCCAGCCAGCCAGGCAAUUCUCCACUGUAAACCCUACCCUUACUUCGUUCAGCGCCCAGUCCUUAUUGUCUUUCUGCAGGAUCAGAUGACGCAACAGUUUCAACAGAAGAAUAAGUUCCAGCUAAGUAGACUCGAUCAUAAGAAUCAAAUACGGGCGCAGUAUCUUGAUCAUAAGCUAGAUAAUCUACGGGAGCAGGAAAGUCUCUCCGUAUUGGCUUAGAAGCGGGUAAUUAACAAUGAAAUUCUGAACUUCACAAUAGAGGUGGAGAAAGAUUCAAGGAUAGUUCCUUUCUAGUGAAGUCGACAAGGCCUUCUAGUAAUUUGCUGUUGGAGCAGAUCCUUUAGUUAUAUAUAGGUAGAGCAGCAGAUCCAGUAGUUAUAGAGUCAGCAUCAGAAGGAGAAGUUUCCGGUCUCAAGUCUUGUGUUGGUGUGGGUAAGAUAGGUAGGUAGGUUCGGGAGACAAUGAAAUACCAGUAGUUGUGGCAAUCAGAUCCUCUGAACCAGGGAAAGUCGUUUCAUGAUUUGUUUAAUGUGAAGGAAAGCUGUAUGCAGUGAUAGUUGAGUCUCGUGGAGAAUCCCCAGUGCCAGGGCGAGUGAGAGUUUGACCCCUUGUUUAAUAUCCCAAUAAGGCCUUGUUGCGGCGGAGUUCAAUCAGAUCUUUCUUCCCUUGGAGUGGAAUUCGUACUUUGCUCCUAUUUAUGACCUUCAAGUUCAAUUAAGUAAACUUUAUUCUUAUUAUUAAAGAAGUUACCCACUACUAUAGACUGACUGUUCUAGGAAGAAUCAAUUCUAUGCUUUUCAGUGGGAAGCUCUUCUUCACAGGAGAUGCAGCGGGAAUAGAAGCAGUGCUAAAGUCAUUUACUCGAUAAGAAGGAGCGGAUACUCUAAUUAGAUACGAGGGAGCGGUCUGAGACUCUUCCUGGAACUGUCACUGGGGCAGUACUCUCAUCUAACUCAGGCAACCGAGCACAUAGCAAGUAGGCAAGCAGCGGCAUACAAUCCGUUUUCACCAAACCCCAGUAGCUCUGUUCUUGUUCUUGUUGCACCCCCAGCUCCAUCUUUAGCUGAUGAUCUUAGUUCCAAAAGAAGCUUUUUACUGAUAUGCUUUCUUUAUAUUUAGAAUAUAUAAUAAGUAUAAUAAGAAAGAUGAUAAAACGAAUGCUAGCUUUUGUAGUUCAGUUUCACCAACGCUAAUAAGACUGACCUACUGUCCCGGAGCUCCGUGAACUCAACUCAACACUAGUGCACAAACGCCGCUGUCAGAAAGAAAACACAUAAGAGUUUUUUUGUUACCUUGAUGCUUAUGCCUUCGGGAACCAAACCUUGCUUUCCAACCUAAACUACUAGGGGCGAUUGCAAGCCUGCUCUUCAUAUCUAUAAGUCUGCCUUUACUGCCUAUGAGCCUCCACCCUUAUUACUUCAAUUAUGUAUUUACCCUUUGAUUACUAUACUGUGCUGGAACCAAACCUUGUUUUACUGCAUAUCAGGCUUAGCGCUCUACCCUGGCAUUCUGGAGUUGUAAACCCCUAAUAGCGAGGUCAACUUCUAGGGCCAAGACACUACGUCAGUAGCGCGGUAGGAGCGGUUCCUAGUAUACGAGUAGUCCGGAGUUAACCUAAUUAAUAGCGUCAGUGAGCCUUUCUGAAAAAAAGAUGGAUUUUCCAAUGCCAAGUAAACGGAAAACGAGUAUAGCCAGCCCGGAUCGAUUGAAUUGAGCUCUUAAGAGAAAGUGUCUCUGGUCUUUGAGUAGGUGCUAUGGUACUGAUUCUCUGCCUCUAAGGAAGUCAAUUCCCGUCGAGCUUGAUAGAUAGAGUCAAAGGAAAAGUAGAAAGCUUACAGCGAAAGCGAUGGUUAGGGCAUGGGAGACUAGACUGGCGAUUGGGCAAAUGGCCUUUCCACUGAAAACUUGAUAGGGGCGGAGGUUGACAUACGCAUACAAGGGGCUGUCGAGGCUUACUUACUAAUAAGUAGUAAAUGUAUCUCUAUUCAAUGUAAUAAGUCGUAAAUGUAUCUCUAUUCAAUGGGGGAUUGGUUUGAAUCCUUCCUUAGUUAAGGAUAUCAGAGCAUAAAGACGGAAGCAAAUCAGUAUAUCACUGGAAUACUAGAAAUCGGGUAAGGUCAAAUCCUUAUAUCACUGGAAUACUAUAAAUGGGGUAUGGAUUCAGAAGUAAUUGCUUUCUAAAGGAUUCUCUUGAGCCUCGCCCUUUAUUGACUCUAUAAAGCACUGGAAGGCUGGACGGACUAAAGCACUGCGCUAUCCUGCUAGCAUAACAGGUAAAAGUGUAGUAGCGUCGGCUUUGUUAAUAGGCUUGAAACUAGAAAAAGAAUAGUAAGGUGGUUAGGGCUUGAAACCAACGGGCUAACAGACUAUCGCACUAAAGGUAAUCAUGCUUCUGGUGGAAACUGGAACCAGGAACCGAGCGUACUAUAAGAAAGCUAAGGCUAUCCCGUGGGUGUGUAAAACAUUUCAAUCUCCUUGCAAUGAAUGGGAAAGAAAAAGAAGAAAGAGAGAAACUCUUCGCUAACGCCCCUGGAACUAAUCCUCGGAGAUACGGGAAAGCAGGAAUAACUCCAGCAAGCUUCCUACUGUAUUUGAUAUUGGCUUUCGUUAUUACGAAGAUAGAAAAUUCCUAACCCGAUUGAUUGACCCUUUCUCCUUUCCAGAGUUAUGCUCCCCGCACGCACGCCCGAUUCAGUGGUGAGUCUAAAGAAAGGUAAAGAUCGCCUUCACAAUACUAAGAGCCCUUCCUUUAUUACGCAGGGAGGAUGAAUUGACCAACUCGACAAGCUCUCCUAAUAUGAUGGUCUUAGAAGCGUCUUUAAUCUAAUAGGGGUAAAGAAAAGAUCGGGACUAUUGCCUUCACUACCUGCCUUCCACCAAAUAAUUCCUAUCACUAUACAAGACGGUGAUGAUUUGAUGCAAUUUUGGCUCGGCUUUCUCUUAGUACAUGUGCCCGAUGGCCCUUUUCGGUACUUUGGGGAGUCAGGCUAUUAUGAUGUCAUAUUCUGGAUUUGUUUUAGAGCUAAUAGGAGAUGAGAUCAUGUAAGUAAGUCUUUGAAGCUAAUAGGAGAUGAGAUCAUGUAAGUCUUUUCACAAUAUUAGCCAUAAGCCCACUUUUCCAAGGCUAUAUAUUUGCCACAGAGAAAACUAAGUAGAGUUUUGAACGUCUGCUGUAGCUCUAGUUGUGGGGGGCUAGCUGGGGCUUUGGAUUGCUUUUCUCUCCUUAACGGCUAGCCUAUGUGCGAUAUGCUUGUUUGCUUGUUUGCGCUAACUUCGUUUCUGUUGCUUGUUCAUGGCCUUACAUAGGUCUCAACUCUCCAUUGACUUUAUACAUGCAUCGGCCCUUGAAUUGACAACGUUCUCUUUCCCAGCCAGCAUUCAUCAUUAUGAGUGAGCGAGAUACUUUUCGUUCUUGUGGUAUACAGCUUUCAGGGGCGAGGGAAUGCGUGAGAUAAAUGGCUUCAUCUGCGAGCAAUCAUUCUUUCCUAGAUAAGAAGAGAUACCAUCGCCGAAUAAAUGAAAUGGGUUUAGCUUAUUGAUUGAAAAUGACCUCCUCCAGAUGCACAUAGAAAGGAAGAGAGAUUGCUUAUGUCUCAGUCGCCCCGCUCUCACUUGGCUCUCCCCUCCCCUUGACUUCUGUCGUCGGACUACGCGCACUGGAUCGGUUUCGGACUACGCGCACUGGAUCGGUUUUAGAUAAUAGAUGGAGAAUUCCGCCGCUGAAAGAUCACUUAAUCACACACAAGCAAGAUUCUAUUUGACCGGUGAGAAGAACUGGGACUUUAUGCUAAAAGAAGCGAGAACACACUCGUUAGAAGUUAGGAAUCAGGGCUCUAUUCUUAUGACGGAGUGCUUGAAUGGGAAGAGUGUUUUUUGUUAGGUUUAGGCCUUCCAGUGUCGAGUGGCAUUGUAGCAAAUUCCUAUAUAGAAGACAGAAUGAUCAACUGCAAGCAUUGUAUAGAACAAAAAGAAGCAACAAAGAGCUCCAUUAUGACUUGAGAGCACAUGGUAUAUAAGUAACAUUGAAUUGAGUAUUUUGUAUAGAAACUCGACGGGUAAUCAGACUUCAUUCUAUACUAGAGCUCCACGGGGUGUAGUUGUUUGUUCUUGUUGCCGGGGUGCGUUAGGAGUGCGCGCAAAAGCUAUUGGAGCUGCUCCAGUAGAAGAAUCAUUCUUUAUACUGGGUAAAGUGAGGCAGUUGGGAUGAUCCGCUACCCCGUCUUGUCUUCAUCUUCUUUCCUUUCCUUUCCAUCGAUUCCUGGAUUGCCUUCAUUCAUUCUGCUCGUGAAGAACACCUCCGCUCCUAUUGCUAAAGUUUUCCCACACCACACACAUAAUCCAUUAAUAUAUGGGUUUCAUAAACAAAGUCAAAAAGAUCAAUAAAUCAGUGGUUGAGUCAAGAUUCUUCUUUCUUUGUCGAGACAAGAACCCGACUUUCCUUAGGGGUUGCAUUUCACGAAAACUUUCCAUGUAAAUAAAUAUCUAAGCCAAUGGGGGCGGGCCCCUUUAGAUUACUUUACUUAUAGAUUUGUUCCAUUUCCAGAAUGAAUGAAGAAAGUACAAUUCUCAUAUGAUAGUGUAUAGGAAGCAAAACCUCAUCUCAUGUCUUUCUUUUGACAAAGAAUGCUUUAAAACAUCUGCGGCUUCCCCCUAAUCUCAUAGUGUAUCCUAUUUCCUUUCCAGCGCCCUAAAUCACAGGCUGGGCUCUUUCAUUCUUUGACAGUUGAGUGGGAUUUCCCAUAAUCCAUUGAUUGGGCCCGAAAUGUGUGGGGAGCUUGGCUCGCUCGUUUUAGUGUAAAUAUCAAUCUCCCUUGAAUGGAACCAGAGCCAGUUGGGGUAUAUAGCCGUCAGGUGUUUUUGGCUUCAUCCGAACCACGUGAUCUCUCUUCGUUCUUUUUUCCUAGAAAGAACCUGAUGUGUGUGAUCUAAAGCAGAAGAAUUGACAAGCAGAAGACAUCGGUCGUUAGGGAAUUUCUCUUUCUUUCGUUCUGGAGGCUUAUGAAAUAAUAGCUAGCUUCGUCCCACCGAGAAAAGAUUGUUUGAAGUUCGAAUUCCUAGUGAUUGAAUUGUGCUUCACUUUGGAAGAAUUCCCGACCUUUGAGAUGAAAUCAGAAACGACUUUCGAAAGAGGAAUCCCCGGCUCUUGUAAGGAGACCCGUCCACUUGAGCCUGAAGCUGCUUCUCGCAUUCAAAGGCAUGAUCAAAUAAAGAGGGCUGGGCUCUCGAUGUCUGAAAGAACCUAUGCACUUUAUCCUAGGCUCGGAAAGAUCCCACAUCUGGUUAACUGCUUUAGGAGUGAGUGCCGGUGUAAGGCUUUUUCCCCCACCACGCCCUUGCAAUGUAUCCUUUGAUGAAAUGUUGCUUUUUCAUAUCAUACAAUUUAGUGUUAAGAGAUUCUCUGCUCCUAACUGUCCCAAGGGGCCGAGCCAUAUGUUUCUAAGGAUGUUCUUGUGUAAAGUUCGUAGGCCAAGACAAUAGAACAUUUCUUGUGGUCGGGCAUACAAUAGAACGGUCGUACAUCCGUCCAUUUAGGUUUUCCACUUUAUCCACAACACAUGUGUGGUACCCUUUUUCAAAGCAAGAGCGCCUCGAGGGCGGGACAAAGCAUCUCCCCAGAGGGUGACUGCGAUAUUGGCCUGCAUCAACUAUUUGUUUGGCCUUCUAUCCUUCCCGACCAUGACAAGGGCCAGUGCCGCUGGAGAUAAAGGAUUUGCUGGACUUUUCUCUCUUGAAGCGGGGAGCUGCUUAGAGCCAAUUGCACAUUCCGAUCUAGGUAACGAACGAGGUUUUUCCUUAGCGUCCACUCAACCAAGCUGAUCUGUACGCCUAUGUGAUCGAUCAAAUCAUUCUGAGGUAGCAUCAGGUGUGCAGCCGGAGCUCAACAAUCUCAGCGGAUAAUGCCAAUGCUUUUCCGAUAUGUAGUGCAGAGAUAGACGAAAGAAGUUGUGUCACCUGUAGCCACCCUUACUAAUAGUAUACUUUCACAAAUAAGAAAGAUUGACCCGCUAACCGCUUCCUUACUUCGAUCUCCCUCGAGUACCAUAACCAAGAUAAUCAAAGAAAUCCCAGCCCAGGGCCAAGUAACGACUAAUGUGUAGCGGCAGGAGUCCCCGGGUAGACUAAUUCGCUUUCAAACUAGUUGAAAGGAUAGGAGGAACUCUUGAACAUAUUGAUUAGUAUGGGGCUGAAAUGCCUUAGCCAAAGUCAACCACUCCUUAAGUAAACUAUACUCCAAUUGUUUGCUACUACCAUUCUUUAUCGAUUGAAGGCAGAAGAAGAGAACUACUCAGGGAUAAGAGAAAAGAGCACCACCUAUAGCUAUGAACUACUAGUAAACAUAUACUAAAGAGACUUAGCUUGCCAAUUGAACUAGAUCGCUUUUCUAUCCAUUAAUUAGAACAUCGCUUUACUUUCUUAGCGUGCGGUUAUCUGCGCUUGACUUUUCCAUGUAUUUAUCCUCAGGACUUUCCAGAGGGUAUGGAUUAAUGUGGUCUGUCUAUAGGCGGUCCCCUUAAAUGAAUGGGUAUUCCCACGCUGUCCAUUAUGAUAGAGUAGAAAGUCUGUCUCCUUGCCGAGUUGCUUGGCCACUAGCUUCUUGAGUGAAGUGAACCCCGCGCUACCUUUUAUUACUUAUAUCGGUCGCUAGACUCCAGUACUAUAUUUCAUUAUUUACCCCUUGUAGUUUGUUGAAUGAAUUUUCUCUCUAUCUCUUGCAAUAGUAUAUAAGAUCUGAUUGUAACAUCAUCUACAUUCCGUUUUUUCUGAGACCAGACCGGCUUUCCACUCUUAUUCAUCUAGUGCACAUAGCAUAUAACGGGUCUAGUGCACAUAGCAUAUAACGGGAAAGUCCAAAAACUCCUGUAGUGCACAGCACAGUAAUAAGUAAAGCUUUUCGAAGAUAAAAACACAUAUGAUAUAAUAUAAGAAAGUAACGUAGAACUCUAUGCUUUCCUUAGUUUGCUGGGCCCAAUAUUUGUCCUUUCGAUGAGGAGAGUAUUCGAGAGAAAAGCAAAAGAGAAUAGUAAACCCACGAAGAAGAGCCUGAAGGUAAGUAUAUAAACUACUAACAACGGGGAAAUCCCUUUAAGGAUCUGAUCUUAUCCCUUUUAGUCAGGUCCGUUUGAUAAAUAGAAUUGUGUAUGCAAACCCUAUUUGUGCAAGCCCUAUUUAUUCGCCUCUUCUCUGGCCGUGGGAGGAUGCAUUUAUUUGAAUUCCUGCUUGAUAAAGACCCAUGUAUUAUCGGAUUGACUCCGGAAGUGGAUUCCAAGCUUAUAAUCCAUAUUUAUGCAAGCGCCCUCGGGAUCUAAUCCCAUAUAUAUAUAUGAGAAAUGGUAUUCCUGUCCCUCGCAUGGUGGAUUAACUAUUUACUUGGCAACAUCCGCCCCUUCCUUGUUCUAGCUAAAGUAUAUUGUCUUUUUUUGUGCAUUCAUCAUUAUUGUCUUUCUUAUUACCUCUAUACUGAACUUAGAUCUAUAUAUUUUACAUAGAAUGCCAAUCUUCAAAAUGCUAAAUGGGAGUAAUACACUGUGACAUGACACGUUCACUGAAACCCCCUUUCUUUCUUUUUGGUAGCGAACCAUUUCUCGGAAAUAAUGGAAUAACUCAACAUGAUAGGUAGGAUAAAUAAAUAGAAGUAACCUUGUCUCGGGCAUCUACCAUUAUACCCACAAUGCUGAUUGGCCAUACAAUCGCUAUUCAUAAUGGAAAGGAACACACAUUGACCUAUUGAUUCAACAAAUUCCAUAAGAUAUCGUAUGGUAGGAAAUCAAAGCCAAAGCAAAGUUCAAAGAUAACUAACGGAAAGUCAAACAACAAGUGUUUCUCAUUCAUUGUUGGGGGAUAUGCUUCUUAUAAAUAACUCGAGUAGCGUAAAGGAGCUCAACAUAUAUAUAUAUGUAUGUGAGUAUGUCUGUUUUCAAAGCUAGAAGGAAGAGUCAUUGAUCUGAUUCGCUGACAUUCCUAUGAAUCAAUACUUAUUAUACAGGAACAGAGGGAGAGCAUCUUAUCGCAUUGCUAAAUCCUUGUAUAUUCUGCACAGCUUCAAAUGCUAGUAUAUGGGUUUGAACGAAGCGGAUUCAUUCAUUAGUCAAGCCAAAGUUCAUAGGUGUACCCAUUCUAUUGUUGUGAAUAAAUUAAGACCUCGAGCUCAAGGACGUAGUUCUCUAUCAAAAUACCUACUUGUAAUAACAUCGUGUUAGUAUUCAAGAGUGAAUAGGAGGAUGCCACCAGAAGACGUUGUGCGUUAUUAGUGUGCGCCCUUGCUUGUUGAGUUGCUUGCUCUCUCUUGCCUAAGGUUAUUUCACACUAAGCACUGAGAUGAGAACAUCUUAACUUCCUAGUCUCUUUCAGGUGAAGUCAAGCUCUUCGAUUGAUUGAGGACUCAUCGAUGGCUGGAGGCGGUUAGUCCGGCGCCUAAAAAGGGGUUUCAAUACAUUUGAUUGAAACUUAUAUGGCGCUUGGGGGAGACAAUUCCAUUAUCUCUAACAUUCGAGUAGAUUCAAUGAAAUCCAACAAAAAAGAAGAUUGACUGCACCUCUAUCAAACGCUUGGGCCUUCCUUACGACCUCGAAAGAACACCUCUAUUCUACGAGUGUCCGGUUAAAGCAGAAAGAAGCCAUUAUUAUCAAAUCCAAUGCUAAGCACGAAAUCCGCAGAGGAGUUCCGAAUCCGAUCAAAGGCUCUCUCUACCUUUUCCUUCCGACUGAUCUUCUUCUUUAUGCUAUACCGGCGGUACUAGCUCGUUUCUUUAUAUUAGUAAUAGCCAGCCCGUUUCUUUAUAUUAGUAAUAGCCAGCCUCUUUCUUUAUAUUCUCCCUUCUACAACUUGAGCAUCUUUCUUUUCCCUUUGCUCUUUGGUUCUCUAAGAAUGAUUUUGCUAUUCACAUUCAUCAGUAAUACGAUUGGAAUACAUAUUUUCUUGCUUGCUCUCUCACAGGCUUGGGUUGGAAUUUCGUUAGAAUGCAGCAGUAAAAGAAAGCACUCUCAGAAUAUUCCCAAAGUUGGCCAGUAGCCGCGGAUAUAUAAGUGGCACAGGAAAAGUAGUCGUCGUCCAAUUGAAGCAGAAAGGAGAGUUCGAAAGUUCUCUCGGUCAGGUCAGGUAAAAAACUCCCGUUCGCGCACCCAAAGGAGAGAAUUGGAGUGAAGAAUAAGAGAAUGAGAGUUUGCCGGUGUGCCUUAGGAGUGAGUCUGAAAUCCUCUGCCUUUCCACCCUGACUUUCUCACUGCUUCUAAUCGUUCUGGGCAUUCUCCUCGGCUUCGGUGGAUUCUCGAACUUAGGAUUCCUCUCGUUGACAACUUGGGCUAAGGGAGAUCAGUCCCGUCGUAAAGUCCUGUUUUCGGCAGUUCCUUGUCCUGAAUACUUGUUCUGUUAUUGGCACUUUCUCCUUAUUGUCUACGAGAUCAGAAGCUGGGUUAGCUCCCGACGAAUAAAGUACUGGUUUGGAAGCCGCCCCAAUCAAGUAAGCUGUUAUUGGUUCAUAAAGUAGAGUUGGAGUUCCAUCAUAUUAAGCGGAAUAUUGAGGGUCCGCAAGUGCUGUAGAAAGUCUAGGACCAUCAGCAAGCGCAAAGCAUAUUCAAUCAGCCUUCUUGGGGUUAGAGUUUCACCCUAUAUGGAAAAGCAAGUGUAUGAGAAGCAGCUGUAUAAAAGCAAGUUCACCUUGUAGUCCUGUUCUUGUUAGAGUGGAAUUCCGUAUUUGUAGCCAUCUGUUCAGUUCUCUUCUUGCCUCUAUCUCAUCUAACUAUGUUGCUUGGCCCUUAGAAUGCAUUUCUUUAGUUACUUGUCCAGAGGUAAUACUCUCUUUCCCUGGCUUCCUUCCUCCACAGAAUACUAGCUAUAGUGGCUCACUUCUAGUGGAUGCUCUUAUUCUUUCUCCGAUUAAUAUGCUGGAUCUCCUCCCGGUGCAACCUUUUGACUCUUACCGAAUCGAAUCCCGUGUGCUAGGGAAUUAAUCUAUUCCCGAUGGGAUUUCUCUCUUAUGUACAUUUCUUAAGUGAAGUAAUGCCUCUGGUUCCAGUAGUUCGUCUAAGGCGUAAAGAGAGCUGGCCUCAGUAAGCACUAAGGUGUGAGAUUCAUAAUAUCCCACAGAGUUUUGAUAUUCUGCAUAAAGUGAAGUAGUAUCAAAUUAGCUGGCCAGUAAUCUAAUUGUUCAUGAAGUUCCUUAGUAUGGGGUACGAAGUUAAUGAAGUAUCAGUAUAGUAUGGAAAUUAGCUGGCCAGUAAUCUAAUUGUCUUCUUUAAUAAUCCGUUAUUUUCUCGUAUAUUCGAGUUAGUAAGUUAGCGAGGUCUCAAAUGCUCUCUUUGCAGAUUUUCAUAGGUCAUUUCCUUCAUCGCAUAUGGGUAGCCUCAUAUCCUUUUGUGGCGGAGGGAGCUUUUCCUUCAGAAUCUUUCUUUUUCGGUGGGAGGGCAGGAAUCCUUCAAUGCUCUCUAGCCGGUAGUAGGUCAACUUCUUGAUGUAGUAGCUUUUGCGGAACUCUUGUCCUUUCCUCUUUCUUUCUUCUUUAGAUGUAUUUGGAUUAUGCUGCUUGAUUACUAGCAGUACGUAUUAUAAGAGCAAGGAAAUAUAAGAUAAGUGGGCGAUCCCAUUGCCAGAGCUCGAAACACUAUAUUAGCUACUUCUCCUUUUCGGUGAUGAGGAUCCUUUCUUCUUGCUCUUGAAGCAGACGCGGCGGAAACAUUAUGAUUCAGAGCUAAGGAGUUUUGAGUAAGCGGAACCUUUCUGUUUUGGUUAUUCUCCACUAUCCCAAACUCCAAAAGUGCUAUUCUAACAAAACUCAGAAAAUGCUUGGAGUAAGAAAGCUGCCUUUGACCAUAUUAUUCCAAAAGUCAGAAAAUGCUUGGAGAGUCAGAAAUUGACCCUAUUAUACCUUAUCAUCUGGAGCAGCCUUCCUUUCUAUGGUUUUUGUUUCUCCUUAAAUAUAGAUAUAUUGAUUGGAAAGUCAACUUCCUUAUUAUUUCACUCCUGACUCCCAAUUCCUAAUUCAUUCACUCCUUACUCUCAAUAAGGCUGAAGGAAAGUUGCAUUAGAAAAGAGAUGAUAUUAUACAUGGAAUAGAGUUGAGCGAACAAGGUCCCGAUCCUACUUUGUUUGAGAAUCAAUCUCGGACAUGAAGUAAGUGAAGUGAAUAACAGAAUGGAAAUAGGGCUUGGGCUUGUAAAAGAAUGGAGAUAGGGCUUGGGUCAGCGAAAGGAUGCUUCUGUGAGUAUUUGAAGUGAGUGAAAUAAUGAAAGCAAGUGAACAAAAGCAAACAAGCGCUGUAAGGUUAGGCGGAUCCCACUGUGCUGGGUGGGUGUUUAGUCACAAUAUGACAUUAGUUGUGCUUGAAAUGCCAGAAGUGAGGGCGAAAUGUGCUAGUUGUGAAAUGCUCUUUCCACUUUCCUUCUAGCUCCCCUUUCUUAUGAAUCUGACUGGCUUGGCUACCCCUUUGCUUCUUUACUAGCACUAGCUGUAUUGCUACUCAAAGCUUUGGAGUGUGUCCUGUGACUUCUACAAGGGGCGGAAUACAGUACUGACAUCGGCUGGAUAAAGAUCUGAGCAGUGAGAGUUCAAUCAACGAGAUCAGAAUCUUAGCUAGGAAAUGAUGAUGGUGCUCCCACUGGACAGAAGGUCAAUAAUUAGGAUAAGAAUGCCCAGACUCUGUUGAAAGAUGAGAGUGAGAUUCAACAAGCUAUGUUCCUUAUUUCGGCUAACACAAGUUAUACAUGUUCCCUUGUGCCAACGUGUGAGGAAAGCCCUUGUCUUGUGCGCGAGCGUAAGUAGUUGCGGUUGUGCUUGUUUCAAAAGCCCGUUUUAUUAACGUUCGAGUAUUGCGCUAAGGCAAUCAGUAUUGUGGUCAGUGAAUCAGUGUCAUCAAAGUCUCUAGAAAGAACUCGCUCACUUAAAGGGUGCCUACCUUCUAUUCCUUAGAGAACAAGCUAGGGAAAAAGCUUUCUUGCAAUUGAGUCAAGUAAGGAGUAAGGAAAACAAGCAAGGUCAAAUAGAAACAAGUGCGUUAGCGAGCGGAUCCACUCAUAAGUCAUAAUGAGACUACCCAAGGGUCAACUUGAACUCAGAACUAACUAAAGCAAGUGUAGUUGAGGUCGGGCAAGAAAGAGAUUCCAUUAAUGUUUGAGUUGAACGAGCUAGAUAUGAGGCAACAAUCGAUUCUUCAAGGUUAAGGGUUGACCGUGCGAGGAGUUUCCGCUUCCAGAGCUGGGAUCAGUAUCAUACUCCGUUUCCAAGUAAACAGCAAGCGAGUGCGGGUCUUCAAGGUCCCUUCAAGUAUAGUUCGGAUCUGGGAGUAGAGUUCUUUUUUCCUAAUGAUUUUAGGUUGUCGACUCGAAUAGCCAGUUGUUUCAUCCUCGUUUGUGUUAAGAGAAUUUCCAGUUUCUAAUUCUACAUGAGAAAACAGAGACUUUUAAUUGCACUUGCGCCAAGAACAAUACUUGAAGACUUAUAGACAACAGCAACACCUUCUCUUGCUACAAUAGUGGGAACACCUUCUCUUACGACAAUAGUGGGAACACCUUCUCUUGCUACAAUAGUGGGAUCUGUAUAGGACCUGGAAUGGAAUUAAGUAGCUUAUAAGUGUAUAGAAAUCCUUAACUAAACACUGCAUAGCUCCCGUAGCUUGUUUGUGCUGUUCCUGCAGCUUUCGAUCUACCCCUUUUGCUUUAAGAAGGAAGGGAAUUGAGCUAUCUUCGACUUCGGUUAACUCUGGAAGCUAUAGUUUAUUCAUCUAGUGCACAUUGAUUAGUCUCUCCAUCUUAUCCUCGUAACAAAGAAACCACUUGACUUUACGCAUUAGCACUUAGUCUUGUAGGGCCUGUGAACAAGCAGGAAUUGGAAUUGUAAACUCGAGAAUUUCCUAUUCGAGUAUUGUCUUCAAGAUAAGGAUCAGGUACUGGCUUUGAAUCUAGGUCUAGGUCUAUAAACAAGGGUGCAAGAGAUAUGAAAGAGAAAUCUUACCUUAGAGUUGACGAAAACGAGCUAUGCGUAUAGAAGUGAAGAAUAUGACCUGUUUCCAUACCUGCUUACAUACUAAACAUGUUGUUCAGCUGACCCGCUUACAUACUAAACAUGUUGUUCAGCUGACCCAUUAAUUACUGCUUCAUUCUCAUCGACAACACCAUACCUUUCUACUGGACGGACCUCGAACAGAAUAAUACUAUACUGAUCUUGUCUACUUUCCUUCUUUUUCAUCUUCUCCUGUGCGUCUUCUGAUUCUAAAGCUUGUUAUCGAGCACAUGGUAUAGAUAAAAGUGACCUAACAGUAUCUUCUCCUAAUCGAUAUUCUUUACCAGCUGAUUCUGUUGUCGACUUCACUCGAAUAGCAUCCCUUUUUCUGACCUCCACUUCGAAAGUCACUUAUUGCUUGCUGACAUAUAAUGACAUAUAAAGUCACUUAUUGCUUGCUGACAUAUUAUAGUAUGACUUAAAUCACGGGUAUAGGCGACCUCUGAAACAAGAAUAGGAACUGGCCGACAAGGAGUGUAAACGGCACCGACAUCAUAACAACUAGUACUUUCUUCUGUUGUCGACUCAACUUUACUUGAAGGUUCUGUUGCUUUAGCUCCAUCUGAGGCUUCUGAUCUCGUAGACAAUGCUAAAACUCUAUGCCUAGAUUCUUCCUAAACCUGGACUUGAAGUUAAUCAUGUCAUUGAGGAUAUUACCCCUUAUAAUAGAUACGAGAACGAUUGGCGAACAAAACUGGCCUGUCUUCCGUGUUAGGAGUGAGUUGUGCGGGAGUUUGCAGAUAAAGAGCCUGCUGUUAUAGGUGUUUUGUCUCUCAAUUCUACCUAGUGUUACUCAUACUCUAGUCUUAAAGCAACUCGGGCCAGGAAAGGAAAGGAUAGGUCGGAAGUCAGCAGUAAAUGAAGGAGAGGCCCUUAUAGUCAGUUUGUUUGACUUCAAGGUUCAUCCCCUGUUGAAGUAGCAUCAUUGUAAGGGUAAGGCACACAAGUGAAAGAGUUUCAAAGAUGGGUUUACACGGUCUACAGAAUAUGAGUCUAUUUCUGUUCUAGAGUGAAGUAGAAAAGAUCUUCAGCAACAAGCAGGAAAGGCGGAGUAUAAAGAUAGAUAAGUCCGGGUAUCAAUUUGGGGGUAAUUAGAGAUAUCUGAUGAAAUGAUUAGGGUUCCUCGGUCCUCCGCGCAACAAGACCACUAUAAUCAAUGGUAAGAGUUCAAUCUCAUUCUGUGCUAAUGGGUCUUAAAGCAACUGAAUCAUAAGUUAGAUUACUUAGUUCUAUUAGUGGUGCUAAAGCAAGAUAGAGAUUCCAUUCGCUGUGUUUAUUGACUCGGUUGCAAACUCCUAAUGACGAUGAAGACAGUAACUCGUAUUCCAUUCGAAAUCCAUAGUUUAUUCCCUUCGCCUAAGCUUGGUUCACUUGCUUCUUAACUUGCAUGUUCUGUGGCUUCUGAACUUGGUGCUUGUUGUGAGCUCGAACUUAACUCCGUAAGCGCAACUCAACACUCAAUUCCGUUAGCGCAACAAAAGCCUUACUCUGGCUCUGGGCUGGCCCAACCCUAUAAUCAAAUACCGGACGGUACAUAGACCUGAAAGUGCCUUUUCACUGAAUUCCUGGUUGAGAGUUCCAAUCUGAUACUAAUUAGUGAAAAUCUGGUACUACUAAGUUGUAUUCUUUAUUUCUAGGUAAAGUGUUAUAGGCGCUGGUUAGUUUAUUUCCAAGUUUCCAGUUUAUGUCUUACUUCUUUAUUUCAUUCUUUUAUUGUGGGUUGAGUUAUUUAGUUUAUGGUUGUUUUCUGUAUUUACUACUGGAUUCUGACUCCGUGCUCCUUCUUAUGAUUCUUCUUCUCCUGUAUUACUAGCCUGUUUUCUAUUCUUAUUCAUAUCCGGAGCCCUAUUGUAGUAUAGUAGUGGUUGGAAAUGACAAAUCAGAAUGCAAGGUGUAGUUCGUAGAGAGGGUUGGCGCUAUAAGGAGUUGAUUUCCCAGCUCGUAGGUUGAUUCUUGGACUACUUAUUCCUAGGUUGGAGUUAAAGUCAGAGAAGUGAUGGAGUAAGCCUUAGUUCCGAGGUUAUUUCUUAUUAUUAUCAUUUUUGUCUUUUACUGUAGUUGGACGCUCAUCAGUAAUAGGGCCUUAGAAGCAGUAUCGGAAUACUCAAACUCGAACGGCAUAAGGAAAGCCAGAAAGGAAUUCUAGACACUGAAAUGGGAUCAGGCAUGAAAGACUUCAAACCGCCAAGCAACGACUAGACAAGUACAGGAACAGACCCGCUUGCUUCUACUACUGAUUCCACUGGGUUGGGCUCGCUGACCAAAGCAAAGAAUUCCACGACUUUCCCUUAUUCCUAUAGAAAGAGAAAGAGCAAAGUCACUACUAACCCUUACUUAUUAAAGCUUCGUGCCCAGAGCCUAGCUCCUCUCUUGUACUAUAGCCUAGCUCCUCCAUUCGAUAUUGACUACUUGCUUAAUUCUAUAUUGACUACUUGCCAACGACGUUCCAUUCUUCCUUUCUAGGUAUGCCAACGACGUUCCAUUCUUCCUUUCUAGGGGUACUGUUCAAUUCUUUCAUUCCUACUUAUGGACUACUUAGUUAGUUUGAUUCUUGCCCUUACCGGUUUGAGUCUGAUUGGAGUGAGUUUGGUUCUGAGUAGGAGUAGUUUGAGUCUCGAUGUUACUAGUUGAAGUCUUAAGUAAGCUACCCACAUACCCAGCAGCAGUCUCAUUGCCCUCGCUUUCAGGCUUGGACUCCUUUACUGGAUGCGCUAGAUCUAUCCCAUUCUUUCUAUUCUUAGUGUAGUACCUGUUCUUACAUCAAUUGAAGAAUUAGGAGCACUUGGGUUGGAAAGGGAUCUGAACUCGACUCGUUAAGUCUACCUCUGCUCUUGAAUCUCUGCUCUUGAAUGCUGUUGAAGAGUUUCCAUUUGAAAGGAAGAAGUCACCCAUAAAGUGAGAAUGAAAGUAAACCAGAGGGGUCUCGUUGCUUGGCCCUUACUUGCAUUAUGUAUUUCGCUACCUACCUUGCAUCUUCCACACACAGAUUAGUCUACCGAUACUUUAGCAAAGCCUGUCCUUUAUUACUUUCAUUAUGUAUCUCACCUUUGAUUCCAGUAGUUCACCUAUAAGUCCCCCUUUUCUUUGCUUUCAUUGAGGUAAACUAUAUCCGGUUGAGCCAAGGCAGGGAGACCAACAAUCAAGCUAUAUAGAAUGAAAAGCAUUAGUUUUCGUUUUCAAACAAGUGUAAGUCAGAAUGUCUCGCUUAGGGGUUUCGAAAGGAUCGGAAGAGCUUCUUUAGUGUAAAGAGGUAAGGCUCGCUGGCAUUGAUUGAAUCCCUAUUUGGUUAGUUCCAUUCCAUUGGAGGAGUCGUUUUGCCUUGUUUUAACCGGCCCAAUUCUUAUUAGUAGUAGCUACAGCCCUAUCAAAAGGAAAGUCAGCCGGGAAUCGAGUAAGGAAGCUUAGGGACCCCAGGAGGAAAUACUUUAGGUCCAGCAGUGGCAGACUCGAACAAGAGCUAAGGAGUUCAAUUCCGGGGUCAUUAGCCGACACUUGGAGUUGGGAGUGCAAAAGUGAAGCUACCGAACAAGGCUUGGAGCUUUGGUUGCGGGGUCAGUUCUCUAGUUAGGUAAUUCAUAUUUGUUCUUCGGGGUUUCAGAAUGCAAAUAGGGAAUAUCAAACGAAUCUUUAUGUGGUGAAAUAAGAAAUGUCUCCCUUAGGUUCAGCCAGGGGUUUCAUCAGCUUUCAACUAACAAGCACGACUUAGAGUCAAGGGUAAGAUAAGAGGCCAUAAGGAUGGAUUGGACAUUGAACACAUAGUGGUAAGGCGAAGACUGCAGGAUCGAGUUCUUUAGUCUAGGGUUGACUCCUUGGCUUACUUGCUCGAUUCUGACUUGAUAGUGGGAUUCCUCUACAGCCCAGUUCCGUUUUGUCCUCUUAUGCUUCCUAGGCAUUCUUAUACUCAUUAAUGGAAUGGAAUUGACUAUGCCUAAUGGAAUUGAAUUAACUAUGCCGAUUCCUGUGCCUUAUUCCGAUUAUUAUGCUGGAGUGCAAUUAUGUAGUUUGAGUUUGGUUCGACUCCUCAACAGUUAAUGGACAGAGCCAGUCUUUCCGCGCUCAUUCCGAGUUGCGUUUCCUCCGUUUCCGUCCUAGCCCUCCUAUCACUAUUCCUCUUAGUCUCAUGCGCCAGUGGAUCGUACCAUACCACUACGACUUUUGUUUCUGGUGUCUAGGUUUCAUAGGCUUCAAAUGCAGAGGGCUCCUACAAUAGGCAAUAAGGCAGGGUCUCUCUCUAUAGACGUUAUAAGGCUUUGCGCUACCGUGGAGUAUGAUUGCUACGCUGUUGAGUUGUUCUAUAUUAUUUGUUUGACUAUUUCUUCUACCUAGAUGCACUACAUCGUACCCAUAUUAUUUAUACUAGGGUUAAAAGCUACAAGUAAUAUAAUUUAUUCGUCUGGGCGUAGCUCCACUCUCUUUAAUAAUAGGUCCAUGGAUUGGUUGUCAAGUAAGCUCAGUAGUAUUGGAAUGGACGAUAUUAACUAUCAAACAAGUCAGAAUGCGCGACACCACCAGUGAACAGGAACGCACAUGGGAUCGAACAAGAACCUAACUUGGAUUUUCUUAACGAGCACAGGAUCAACAAUAACAAUAAGGGCAGGUAGGGUCACAGCUUCUUUUCUCUAAGGCACGUUUCGGGCAGAUAUGAUUUGCACUUAAGUGCUCUGUUUUGUUAACCUCUUUAUAUGAGUGGAGAGUGAUAUGAAUUCAUAUAUGAGUUUCUAGUGCAGUUACAUAUUCUAGUUUCUAGUGCUGUUAAUUAUGUAUUAUAUGAUUGGUGCUAUAUAUUCUUUUCUUAAGGUAUAGUUUGGCAGUUAGGUUAGGUGUUGCGCUUAUAUCAUAUGUCUACUCAACCUAGGUCACCUAUUAUUCGAUUUUUGAACUACAUCCAACUUUCAACCUUACUCUCCGGUUUGAUCUAAAGCGGCGCACAUUUCUCACUUUGACACUUAGCGCAUUUAUGGAGUUGGGCUUCUUUAUCGUAAACCUUAUUUCUAGCCGUUGAGGUCUGACUAUGCUAAUCAUCUAUCAUCGAGCGAAAGGCUGUUAUAAAGCAUUGACGCCUAUUUUAUACAGGAUGACUUGUGAGCUCCCCUAACGCACUUGUUCUUUCGAAAGCCCCCUACUUUGUAAAGGAUAUGAGUAAUCAACCAAACCCCGAACUCUACUUUCCGCUGGCAGGAUACCCUUACUUUAGCACAGCUGACUGACUUGAUACUUUACCUGAAGCAGAAAUAGAUACUACACUUGAAGCCUAAUCUCCUAACGUGCUUAAUUAGCAUAGAACUUUGGAAUAUUACCUGCACCGCUUAACCUAAGCUUCUGGAAUGUAAACUACAUCUGAUCUUGUCGACUUUACUCGACCUGGAACAGGCAAUUCAGAUGCCUACAUUGGUGAUGAAAGGGCUCUUGCAAGGGAACAAACAAGGGAGUUCAAGGGCCCUAGGGCGGUGAAGUCUUUCCCGCGUACUUUCCAAGUAUAGAGAAGGUUCUGCUACGUGGGCUCAGUUAUGGGCAUACACGGGUUAAGCGAUGCAAAAGAUGGAUCUUAAGCCUCAGAUGGAAAGUCAAGUGCUUGUGUGAAACAAUUCCAGUCAAGUUCUCAUCUCAAACACAAACCACAGGAAACAGUCUUAAUUCCGUAAGUCUAUGUCGAAUAUCUUUCCUUGCACUGAACAAGCGUUAGGUGGGAAUUCAUUCGGUAAGCUGUAUGAGAAUAAGAACCCGUAAGCCGUUGCUAAGGUUAGCUUGUCUCUGACUUUUGAGUGUCAUUCUCCCACUAUUCCUGGCAAUUCAAUUAAUGUCGAGUUCGGAAAUGAAAAAGAAAAGAAAAGCUACGUCCGUUAUCGAGGUGGAAGCGGCGGUAUUGCUUGCCAGGUGUUCAUUCAUCGUAUCUUCCUACUAGUGAAAUCAGAUAACAAAGUAACCAUGGCUCAGGUCCACGAGUGCCACUUUCCAUUUCUCAAAGUGACUUAAGGAAACGUUAAGGCAAGCAAGGACGCUACGAGUCUUGUAAACAAGCCGAACUGCCUGAGCUACCUGGCUUUUCAAGACCAUUAGAGUAGUUAACCCAACAGAAAAACGUGAGCGGCUUUCAAUUAGAAGUUCAGCUCGAGUGAACACGGCCUUUUACUUCACUAUUCAUUAUUAUAUAUAGAGGUAUAGACUAUUCAUUAUAUAUAGAGGUAAUGGUUUUACUUCACUAUUCAUUAUAUACCUUUUACUUCACUAUUCAUUAUAUAUGGGUAGGGGCUUCCUUCUAUUUUCUUUCUUUUCAUUAGUCAAGCUUCAGCUUUCGAUGAACUCCGUCUUUUUCCUUUGGCUUCCGCCUUGCCCUAACCCUAAGUAGGUGCCUUAGUUUACAAUUUCACCCUUGUUUUUCUUUAGCUAAGGAAUGCCAGCUACCAGACUGAGCUACCCUAGCAACAAGAGAUGCAACAGCUGCAAGCCGAGCUGCCCUACAAGAAAAGCUAGCUGACCCGGAUAUACAACUUUGCAACUAGUCUAUUCGCACACCAAAAGAUAUUUGACUUUAGUACUACCUUCAGUACGACAAGGGGCUGUAUAACCCCAAAGAGUGAAUCUCUAACAACGACACAAGCUGUUUCACUUUCAAACUCGGCAUUCUAUGGUGCCUGACCCUAAUCCACUUACGGAAUUGGAAGGAACCUGUUCCCCUUUCAAAAGAAUUCAGAUGGCUAAUAUAGAGUCCGGGGGGCUACUAAAUAUCUCCUUUACCUAAUAGAGCACUAAAGUCAAUUCCAUAGCUACCUUCUCUAUCUCUUGGAUCCCUUUCAUGUAAUUAGCCUUAACGGCCUAAAGGUUUACUAAGUUAGUGGAGUAUCGACGGCGUAGUGAGUUCUUUCUUUUAAUCGUAAAGGCAGGAACUUGAAUCGAAUCCUUAUUUCUAACUACAGCAAGGCAAGCCGAGCUAACAGAGCGAAACAGCCCCACUUGGUAGUUUGAAGACAAGGCUUCUACCAACUAGGAAAGGGAUAGGUUUGAGACUACUAAGCUACUAGUCUCCCCAUCCCCGAUCUCUUAAAGCUUAUUUCUCAAAGGAAGCUAACAGGGUGGGUUUGGCCUAACUUAGCCGCAAGACAAGACUGAGAUCGAAGUGUGGUAUCUUAAACCUACAGGGAAGGAGAUAUUAGGAGAAAGCGCUAUUUACUAGCCACUUGCUAGGCCACGGAACCAGCGAACAGAAACAACGUUAGCUCCGUGAAGUAGAGUACGCAUCUUAGUACGCUAAGGAAUAUGAUUAGUAAGACAGACGUACCCUUAUUGAUUGCGCAAUUCCACUCUCGCCUUAUUUCGUUUCGGCAUUCACUCGAGCUAGGAAGCCAGCUAGUCGUACUCACCGUUUUCCGUCGUGUCUUGAAGGCGUGCCCCCGUCCGCCCCAACCUAGGAACAAAACAAAGACGUUGCGUUUCCCUUUUGGGGGUGAAAAACAUCCCACAGUAUAGUGAUAGUGCCCGGUCCACAGUUGAAGAGUCCGCCUUCCCUUGAAAAACACCACACAGAGAAAGGGUUCUAGUACAGAUGCUCCGGAAUAUGAUUAGUAAGACAGACGUAGAAAGUGCAGAUUACUAUAGCAGCAAAAGCAAAUAGAUCCUUGUUCGAGUGUUCUUAUGGUGUACCCGUCUGGUCUACUAUAGUCUUUUCACCGUCGCUAGCAACGGCCCACCAAAUGGCACAACCACAGUAGCAGCCUUUACUAUCUCUUGCUCUGGUCUACGCUCCCCGAGUCGCCACCCUCAUUUACAACUAUAAACAAACAGAACUACUACGGAUAUACUUUUCUUAUGGCAAACCAUUCGAUUGAAUGCAAUCUAUGAUUCAAUGACACGAAAAAGAGAUAGAAACAAUAGUUUGGAUAUACAGCUAGAGUAUUGGAAAAGCAGCUGCAAAAUCAACAACGGGCACAGUCUAUCGUAGAUCCCACAUGAUGCCUUGCACCCUCCCUCACCAAACCUUGUCUCCCGCUUAGAAACUUGCUUUGAGUCGAGCUCACUUUCGAUUUCGCCCUGUAUUGCUAUUUUCUAUUUGCCAAAUGAAAUCAUAUCCGCCCAUGCCCGUCGGUAGUCAUCUCGAUAGUAAUCAUCAUAGUGAGUGCCGAUCUUUCAGAGCGGCCAGUAAGAGGUGUGUGUUGAUGUUGAUCAUUAAAGGUUUGCUAUGGUAGGUCGAGCCAUGGUACUACAGGAGUUCCACUGUUCAGAUAGACUCAUGAAUAAGGGCUUCCUUUUUCGUUUUUCCUCCGCUGGCAUAUGUAUUUUCUGCAUUUUGUUUGGGAGUCAAAGCAGUGGUGAGACUGUGUCUGGUAAGCUUACGAGUUCUACUGUGGGACGGGAAGAAUAACAAGCAGUGUAUAGUAUAGAAGAACUAAUAUUGGUAAUUACAGAGGAAGAGGUCGAAAUUAGGACUCCCAAGAACGCACACAGGACACAGAUCCUUACUCUUUUCCUUUCGCCAACUAGAACCGGGGGUAGGGGUCAAAUGCUUUUUCUAUAAAGAAAGAGAAGAAGAAUAUAGCUAGCUUCACACAUACAUGAAUAUAGCCAGCUUCACGCUCAUCCUAAAGAAUCACAUAUAGGUGCAGCAGCCUCUACAUUAAGGACAGAGGCAGAGGAUAAGUCUCGGUGGGCUUACUCCUUACUUACUCCUUACUGACUCAUAACUCACUCCUUACUUCUAACUCAUAACUACUAACUUCCUUCCUAGCCUAUUAACUUCUUGAAACAAGCCCAGCUGCUGGCAACACAGAGCCACUUGCAACAGGCUCGGAUCUGGUUUCGUUCUUAGACUACUUAGGUUCAUUCUGACACCCCGGGGAGGACUGGUAAGGCUGUUACUACCAAGUUGCAUUCUAAUACUUAGCAGUUACAUUCUUUGACUAGCUUCUUCAAUUCCCUUAGUUUCAGGUUAGCGAGUCAACUUCCUGGUUUUCAUUCUGAGUUGAACUAGCUCCGUUCUAUGACUUACUGGUUGAAUUCUUACUUCACUAUACUAGAUGCUAGGUCUUCUCAAUAAAACAUAGCGGUGUGGACAAUCGGUAGGCAACAGAUACUAGCUAUAGCCUGUAACUACCCAGAGCCCCAUACUGUAACUCCUUGGGUUAAGCCUGAGCGGACAGUAGUAAAGCCUGAGAUGCACUGGUUUGAGUCUGUAACUGCCUUACUUCAUUCUUUGACUUGCUAGCUCCAGUCUUAGUCUGUAGAGUGCAAUUCCGUAAUUCCUACUUAUGAGCUUGCUGGCUCUUCUCUGAUCCUAAACCCCUGGCUCUGCUCUAACUGGUUCUGCAGCCCUUUUGCCUUGGAAUAGGAUGAAAGAGUAUAGAGUGAGUGGAAUAUGUAUUAGUAGGCGGUGGUCAACACCUCUUUCCGGUAGUCGAAGGUAAGCCUCGUUAGGUUAGCUCGUCCGGUAAGAAAAAGUGCAAGUGACUUCUAGGAUUUCGAGUUCCGUGCUCUAGGGCUUUGACUUCUCAUAAGGAUCACUUUUGGAAAUAGCGAACCUGCUGCUUGCUCGUGGCUUGUGCUAAUGCAACUCGGGAAUGAGGGCAGGCUACUGUCAGACUACUUGCUCUUUGUCCCUAACUCUGUAGCUAAUAAGUCACACUGCUUCCUAUGAUCACUCGACUCCCAGAGCUCCGUUAGUGCAAGUAAAAGAUGCUAUAAAGUCUCCAAUUUGGUCAGAUCUUAACUAAUUAAUAUACAAAACUCGCUAACGCUUGGCUUAACUCAACAAGCAACGGCAAUAAAAGAGUAAUUAAGUGGAGGCUAAGGAAAAGAGUCAUUAAGUAGAGGCUAAGGCUGCUAAUAAGGAUGGUCUUCUUUAAGCAAUGGAACAAACUACGGAAGAAGAGAAGUAUUACUCUCAGGUCUAACAAACGCCGGAAUAAGCUUAGGCACAAUAAUAAUCAAAUAAGUAACGGCUAGAAUCAUAAUAAAAUAAAGUGAAGUGAAGUAAUGGCUAGAUAGAUCCAAAAUGUAAGUGCAUAUAUGAUAGAAGUAAGAUAGUAACAAACCACAGCUUAUGAAUAAUAUAGUGCAUAUUCCAUAAAUGAUAGUAGUCGUCGUUGUGCAUUAGUGAGUGAGAAUAAGAAUAUAGGGUAGGGUUAGCACUGUCCGUACUUACUGUUGUUGCAAGAGAAGGAGAAAGACACUCAGGUCAUUCGAAUUGCAAUAUGUUAAGUCCUAGCAAUCGAACUCUCCUUGAAGUGGAGAAUGUUAUAAAGCAAUAACACUCUCUUACAUGACUUGCUCCCAGGAUUCUAAGAUAAGAAGGAUGAGAAUGAUAAUAAGGAUAAUAAGCGGUGCUAGGAAAGGAGACCAGAGCAGAGCAGGGGCAGAGCUAGUAGUUUCUUAUGGGCUUGUCUGCUUGGCUGUCUCUUUGCUCAUUGAACUGUCAACAACUCUCCCUGAUGCCACUAAGUCUGGGUCUUGACUUUAACUGUAUGAAGAAUUAAUGGAAUCUUUAGUGCCUACCCUAUAUUGCCUACCCUAGUAGAUGAGAAUAGUCAUAUUGUUUUGAAUCUUACCUCAUUAUAUUAUACCUUGUUUUGUUGCAGCUGACGCUCCUGCUACUGCUGAUCUUACUCUUCCUUAAAUAGGUGGGUAGGCGCAUGCGCAUCCCGAACAAGACACUGUGAUUGAAUUGUGCCUGGUCUACUGCCUUCCUAAGCAUUCUAUUUCUAUGGAAAGGAUUAUUUACAAGAACAGAACCCUUCUUCACUAAGAACAGAACCUUUCUUCACUGACAAUACAGUCAACGGCUAACUCAACUCAAGCAAGCUACCUUUCUGAAAGCUGGAAGAAACCUAGCUUCUUAUGUUGUAGGGCCUGUACCUGACUUGCCCUUACUUAUUAAGCGGCUUGCCCCUUCCUAUCUUUGCCCUUGUAGUAUACGCUUGGCGAAUAUAAUAAGAAGUUCCAUGUUCAAUUCCCCAGGUGUUGGCGACGAGGCAGGAAGUUCAUGAGUGGAAUCGACUCUCGAAUCAGAGGUUCCGCUUUCAAGAUGGGGGGACUAGAAAAGAAAGAAAGAGAAAGAUAUGAAGCGGGUAGGUAACAUUAUUCUAGUUCGGGUGCUCCAAAUACAUAAUGGAAAUUGUGAAAUAGAAUAAUCAACUGCUGAAGUAAAGUAUCUAGGAGUUGGCACAGGAUCAGAUUAAGGAUCGCAGGUAAAGAUGCAAGAGCAAGGAGGGCUAGAUUCAUAUUUCUUAAAGAAACAAAGUAGCUCGCAAAAGAUCAAUCAGUAUUUGUUGAGUCGGCCCAAUAAACAAGUGUAUGGUUCGCCAGUGAAAUCUUUGACUUCAUAACAAGCAACGUGGAGUUGAGCUGAUUGGUUACCACCAAUUAUGUUUUAGGGGGCAGAGUGGAACAUGGGUAUUACCACCAGACGAGAAUAGAAUGGCCUUAUUGACCUUUGACUUGAUUAUGGCCUUCUUCAGUGCCCAGCUCUUUCACGAAGACAGGUGAACUCAGGUAAUACUUAAUGCGGAAGUUAACUACUCGGUUUUUCGAGUUAUUUUGUAUUUUGGUUAUUUUAUUACAAUACCCCACCUUAGUACAAGUCAGUCCACCACCCUACCCGAGCCUUGUAAUAGAAUGAUGAGUUGCGAUAACUACCCAAACACAAGCACGGAACCAGUAUCUGAGUCCCCCUCACCAAAACCCGAGAAAGUACGACGUAUUAACUGACGUUGCUUCUGGUGUCUCUAGCGGUUCCAAUCCAAUCAUGACUAGUGUCUCCUAGCUUACCGAAGUCAGCGAACCCCUUUGCUUUGUUACAAAGACCUCUUUCGGAGAAUUUCGCUACAUCUUUUCGAAAACUCAUUUCCAUAUUUGAUACCACUUCUUUUACAAUUCAUUUCCAUAUUGUCCACUCCACUACUUCUUGUACAAAAGAAACUCAGAGCUCAUCUCAUCUCUGCAGGGAACACCGCUUUAGACGCGAAUAAACGCUCUAUAGGCGAAAAUCCUCCGCUCUAAGUGACAAGGGACGAAAGCAGAAAGGACACUCUAAAAACGAAACAGCAGCCAAGAAGCCGAACACACAGCUGGAGUAAACAAGUAACAGCAGCGAAUAAUGGCACCAAAUGAAUAAGAAAGCGAAGGACAACGAGGGAGGGAAAGCGGAAAGGAAGAGUAGCUCAGAUAAACCAAUGAAACAAGCAACCUAGCCUAACAGUAACGUCCAAACAACCAACGGCGGAAUAAACACGCGCAUAGCUGACGCGAUAACAACAGCUCAAAAACAUGUGUAGUAGACCAUCCUUAGAAGCACUGACAUAAUACCAAGCUCAUGAACUACCCAGCGGAUCAAACUCCCAAGAAGUCCAAUUUCCGGAAAUACGUCCUAUUAACCUUAUCUAGAGCCGAUGCAACGAAAGAAGUAGCAGCUAUCCAAAGAGAAGAAAUAGCUCAAAGGAUAGAAAAGGCUCCAUUGUGUCUUAGUAUUAUAGUAGCUAAGGAGCAUCACGCAGAGAUGGGGCACUACCACUUUCAUAUUGGAAUACUCUUGGAAAAAGGAGUUCAUAGAUUAAGCGCUAAGAGAACCUUUAGGAAGUUGUUCCCUGAAUUCGAGGGGGCACAGCUAUAUGUGUCAUUUCACAGGGCACACACGUCUGUGUGUAAGUAUGCUAUGAAAGAAGAGAAAGAGCCAUUCGUCUGGGGAAAACAGUAAACCAGCCGGAUAAAAGAAUCUGUUAAGGCUCAAGAAAUGCAAAGAACAAUACCUGAAAGAAACCAAUGGGUUGUGCAACGGCUAUAAACCUAUGAUAACUGGGAACAAGUGUAUCAAGAGCCAGAAAUAGUAAAGAUGCUCGUGUAUCAAGAGCCAGAAAUAGGCAAGAUGCUCUUCUCGUCUUACAACUCCAUAAAGGCGGUUUUCGAAGAUUUGCAAGGAAUCAGAGAAAGCGAACUCCGCCUAGAUCAAAGGUUUGAAAGCUACUUGGAGCAAAGAGGGUGGCCAGAAGAAUACACACUACAAUAGCUAAAGGAAAAAUGCUUCCUAUUCGACUGGUUAGCAACGAAUCUUAUCUUUGGUAGGCCCAUAAAGACAAAGCUGCUGUUGUUAUAUGGAGAAAAGACAAAGCUGCUGUUGUUAUAUGGAGAGCCAAGCACACAGAAAACACUCUUAUUUCACACAGAAAACACUCUUAUUUGAAAUGAUGGGGGAAGUCUUGAACGAACAUAUACCACGCAUCCAACAGAAAGAAUGACUUCAAGGGGGUACAUUAUCAUUAUGAUUUAUGGUUGUUCGAUGAAUUCCAUGUAGCAGA